GCCUGGUUCAGACUGGGCUUGGGAAGUGAGUCAGGGCCUGACUAUAUGUGAUAAAGAGAAGCUCCUUGCUUUUAAAGGACAGUAAGGGGGUCGUCUUACACUUAGCAGCCCGGACAGAAUUGAUUUUUUUACAGACCCCUCUGUGGGCGAGUGCCUUUUAUGAAAAAGGCAAAAAUAUUUAAUAAGAAUGAAACCCCCUGAAUGGUCCCGGGUCCUAUCAGAAGCGGGAAGUCCCCUUUUUAAAUGGUCGCAGGCAUCUCCUUUGAUCACACGAUAUCACUGAACAUGCAGUCCUCACACCCCCAACUUCAUUCUCAUCUCAUUUUUCUCCACGGUGCAUGCCAGCCUCUGACACGUGGUGGCCCUCUCUCGAGGGGGUGCUGGUGCCUGACUCCUUUGGACACCCUGUGAAGGCAGGGCCAGACAGGUCGCAAGGGAAAACCAUCGGUCAAGGUGAGUGUUGCAGGCGCCCUGGAGGAAGGCACCGUGUCACCUGCUGGCCCAAGGGCUUCCAGAAUUCCAUGAAUUACAACAGGGAAUGCAUCUGCCAAGCAUCCUAGACCCACGUUUCUGGCCGGCACAGCCUCGCCCUCUGUGGAAAUCAGCAUGAGAGGUGCCACACAGAGGCUGCCUGGAGAGUGGGCUGAACAGGGGGAAGGAGUAAUCCCCCAUGGCCGUCUCCACCCUCACAUCUCCAUCCCUGCCACGUGGGGCCUGGGGUCUGGGCUGCUCUCUGGAUAGCCAGGGCUGUGCUAGGCGCUGCUCAGGCUGGGCUCUCUGAUGGCCCCUAAGAUGUCAGCAAGACCUACCCAUGACACCGCCCAAGCCCAGGGCCUGAGGACGGGAGCCUUGUCCUUCCAGAGCACCGGCUCUGGGGCCUGUGCAGGUGGUGCCCAUCUCUGAGUCUCAGGGUUCUCAUCUGUGCAGUGGGGACAUCAGUGGUGUCUGCAGGACAGGCUGUAGGAGGGUGAAGUUGAAAGCAGGUCUGAGCUGCCAGAGGCCCUGGGUCUGGCCCGCCACACACCUGGGGAGUCAGGGACUGCCUGUCCCCCCAGCAGCUGCCCUCCAUGCCCAUGUGCUGGCCAGAGAACCCUGGUCAGGGGCUGAGACAGUGGUGUGCUGGUGGUCACUAAUACUGACCGUCAUUAAACGUUUAGGAAUGCUGACAGCCAUUGUUACAAAUUAAAUUCUACAAACUGAUGAUUAAAUAAAUUGUAUUAAAAACAAAGGUAGUGAAUAUUCCACUCCCUGUCCUUCCUGGUUGCCUUUCUGCAUCGUCUGUGCUCUUACAGCGACGUCUGCUGCUGGGUCUGUGGUGAAAAUGCUGUAUGAGGCUGUGCUACUGCUCUGCCUGCAGUGACGUCUGGGGACAGCUGCAAAUGGGCACAUGUGGAAGCCAGAGGACUGACUGUCAACCUGUCACCGGAGUGGGCCUGGAUUCCACGGCCAGGGGAGGGGCCGCCAGCCUGGGAUGCAUACAGUCCUCACAGCUCUGGGAGCUGGCUUUCAGGGACUCCUCCUGCAGGGUUCUGUGGGUGCUGCUCUAUGCUCUCUCUCCUUCUGCUGAGGCAUAGGGCUUCUCUACUCGCCCUGGGCCAGAGGAGCCAGGCAGCUGGGCAGCGGAAGGCUCGGGUGCCCUGGACAGGCGUCUGCCUAGCACUGGCUGGCCCGGCCCAGCCAGACGCCUGCUGGCUCAUCCGCACAGCCACCCUGUGGGUGAGGGCUUGGUCUGUUCGAGGGAUGGGGGACCGAGGUUCUGGGAGGGGCUUGCCAAGUCCUGGCAGUCAGCAAAUGGCAGGCAAGGACCUGAGCCCCUCCACUGGAUGUGAGGUCAGUGCUGCCCCAAGCACCUGGGGCUGCCUUCAGUGACAGGAGCAGCGUGGUGAUGUGGGGAGAGGUUCAGCUGGAGGCAGCCACACCACGCAGGACGCUAGGGCAUGGUCCAGGAGCCCUGCACUGGCUGACAUGCACUCCUGAAGUUCUGCCUUUAGAGACUGAUCCCUCGCAACACCCAUCUGCCCUCUCCUUGAGUCCUCCUCCCACGCGCGCGUCCCCAAGAAGAUAAGCAUCAGGGCACCAACGUGCUACUCAAGGUCCUGGGGGCAGCAGCAUCAAGGGAAAGGAGACCAGCAGGCAGAGCAUGGCUGUGGGUGACCUGAAACAGCCACCACUCUCUCCCCCUGGAACCCCGAGGGCCAAGGGAGCAGGAGGGCCUGGCCCUGAGCAGCCUCCCUUCUGCAGAGAAAGGCAGGCAUGGGUGGGCAACACUGGGGCCAGACAGAUGGGGGUGGGCUGGUCUUGGGGGCUCAACUUGGAGGGCAGGGCACUGCCUGACAACGUGGGCAUCAUGCAGAGGGCCGUGCGAGGGCAGCUCGUGGAAAGCGCCCAGAGUGGAGCGCUGGCCCUGGAGAGCAAGGGAUGCUCACGCACGCUGCAACCCGGAUGAACCUCAAGGACAUCGUGCUGAGUGAAAUAAGCCAGACACAAAAGGCAUGGCCUGCAUGAUUCCACUCACAUGAGGCACCUGGAGUAGUCAAAUGCACAGCCGGGAAGUAGAAUGGCAGUUGCCAGGGGUUGCAGGGAGGGGAGUUAGUGUUUAAUGGGCACAGGGUUUUAGUUUUGCAAGAUGAAGGGUUUUGUGGAUGGGUGGUGGUGAUGGUUGCUCAACAGUGCUAAUGUGCUUAAUGCCUCUGAACGGUGCACUUAAAAAUGGUUAAUGGCUGGGCGAGGUGGCUCACGCCUAUAAUCACGCUUUUACCAGGCCCAGGUGGGAGGCUGUCUUGAGGCCAGGAGUUUGAGACCAGCCUGGGCAACAUAGUGAGACCUCAUCUCUACAAAAAAAAAUUUAAGAAUUAGCUGGGCGUGGUGGCACACUGGUAGUCCCAGCUACUCAGGAGGCUGAGGUGGCAUGGGAGUGGGAGGGGUGGUGGGGUGCUGGGGGGUGGGGAGGUAGUGCAGUGCAGCAGAGCAGGGUGUGGGAGGGUAGGGGGAUGGAGGUGUGUGUGUGUGUGGAGGGGGGAGAAUCGCUUGAGCCCAGGAAUUCAAGCUUGCAGUGAGCUGUGAUCCAGCCACUUGAAUUCUUUUUAUUUUUUUUAUUAUUUUUAAAUUAUUUUUUAAGACAGAGUUUCGCUCUUGUUCCCCAGGCUGGAGUACAAUGGCACGAUCUCAGCUCACUGCAACCUCUGCCUCCUGGGUUCAAGCGAUUCUCCCGCCUCAGCCUCCCGAAUAGCUGGGAUUACAGGCAUGCGCCACCACGCCUGGCUAAUUUUGUAUUUUUUAGUAGAGACGCUGUUUCUCCAUGUUGGUCAGGCUGGUCUUGAACUCCCGACCUCAGGUGAUCCGCCUGCCUCAACCUCCCAAAGUGCUGGGAUUACAGGCGUGAACCACCGCGCCCAGCCCAGACUCUUGAAUUCUUAAAGCACAGCUUGCCUUAGGGGCUUCAUAAUGGCCCUAGGGCCCCUGGGGCAUCACCCACAGGGUGUGAGGACCCUCCCCUCACCUCCCUCUCUCCCUGCCUCACUUCCUUCUUUCCUCCCUCCCUUCCCUUCUCAACUGAGCCCCCUACUCAGUGCCAAGCCCUGGGCGCCCUGCCUGGAGGAGUGGGCAGAAUGAUGGGAAGGCAGGCGAGUGUGCUGCAACAGAGGCGAGCCAUGGGCUGUGAGGCAUUGCAGGCAGACAGCAGAGGCAGGAAGCAGGCCUUCCUUCUGGGAAGCAGGAGGAGCCCGGGGAGAGUUGCUAGCUGUGGCCUUCUCAGCCCAGGCCCUCUAGCAACUUGGGGUUUGAGGGUCAAACUUCUUUCUUUAGGUAGGUGAGGAUAGAUGUGGAGGCCUCAGAACCCUGAGUUCAAGUCUGAUCUCAGCUUCUUGCCUACUGCGGUAGGGCAGUCGCUUCUCAGUGACUCAACUUUCCCAGCCACAAGAUGGGUCCAGGAAGAGCCGCUUGGGGAGCAGCGGGGCCGGGAGGAUGGGGUGAAUGACUGCCUGGCUGUGGGUAUCUGCAGCUCCUGCUGGCAAUCCUUCUCACCCGCUCGGUCUCCAGCCAGGGGACAGGGACCUGGGGUCCACACCUCAGCCUGAGGUCCAAGGCCAUCCUCGGAGGAGGCCCCACAUUCGUCCCCCAGGUUGGUGCCCACGCCUGCCCUGGCAUGAAGCCACCCUUUCUCAGGAAGUCCAAGUUACUGAAACAGAUAAAUCAAUCUGUCAAGAAGCCUUGGAGAAAGAAUCUCUCAACUCGCUCAGCCAAGAAGCUCAAAAGGCGAAUUGUUCCCAGAGAUGAAGAAGGAAACAACAGACACCUUCUUCCCAGGCUCUGCCUGCGGCUCUCGAGGCCCUGCCCUCCUCCCCCUGCCCCCAGAGAGCACCUGUAGGCUCAGGGCCAGCCCAGGGACAGGCAUGGCAGCCCCUCGCUGGCUGCUGGGGUGGCGCCCAAUUCCAGAGCCCUGUCUGGGGAAGGAGAGGGCCGAGAGCCACUGUUUGGCUCCUGUCCCAGACCUGACUGGGAGACCUUCUGAAAAACUCAGCCUCCUGAUCAACAGAGGGCAGAAGACCUGAGCCACUGGCCUCCCCAUGGAAGAGGCACUCAGAGCGGUAUGAGGAGUAGUGCUCACCCUGGACAAACUCCCGGAGUCAGUGUGACCGUCGGAGCUGGAGGCUGGGGUGAUGGGGGCCAGGGAAACCAAGCAAUGGCCCCGAGGUAGUGAGGAGUCUCUGGAGGCCAGAUACCCUCAAGAUGGAAAAGGAACAUCCUUGGAGGAUUGGGGUGGCUUCUUCCUGGAGGGAGGAGGGACACAUGCCGGGAUGACAGCCAGCUCUGCCGCUGACCAGCUGUGUGACCUUGUGAAAGUCACUUGAUCUCUCGGCGCAUCAAUUUCCUCAUUGUUGCCUGGGCCUCUUGUGAGAUCUUCCUCAUGGCUUGCAGUGAGGAUUGAAUGAGUCGAUCUGUGCCCCGUGGCCCGGGACAUGGUGAGCAUGUGGUAAUGGCAGCCGUUUUAUCCUGUAGUGUAAUAACGGUGUGCAGCUAGACGUCACUCUGGGCACCUUUUCUCACAGAACUGUCACUGCCGUGCUGCAGGAUGCGGAUGGUUGUCUUCACUCUCCAGAUGAGGAAACUGAGGCUCAAGGAAGGGCGGAGCUGCCUGAGGCUUGACAACUCUGCAGUCUGCAGCUGUGAGAGGGGGCUCUUUCUAGCCACACAGCUUUCCCUGGUUCUCGUGCGCUCUGUGAGCAGGAGGACGGGAAGGGCCGCAGCCGCUGAGGGAGCAGGAGGGGUUCGAUGCAAGCCCAGCUCCCAGCACGGGAAAGCCAGGUCAAGAAACACACGGCCUCUGCUGUGGGGCUGAUCACAGCUUUGUCAAAGAGGAGAUGUGGGAGGGGGGAGGUGAAGGGAGCAGGAAGAAAUGAAUGUCAGAAACAUAAAUAGCCCUGGAACUGAUGGACAGUCUGAGAUCUCUGCGCAGACCUGGGCGCCUGCAGGCUGCCACUCAAACCUGAGCAGAAGGGUGAACCCGCCCUCACCCCACUCCCGGUUCCCUACACGCCCCAGGAAAGGGCUGUUGUGAGCGGAAGGCAUUCGUCGAAAACUGGGAAGGUUGCCCAAGAAAGGCAGAGCGGGAAGCCCUCCGUGGGCAGCAGAACCGGAUUAUGAGUUUCAGCUCUACGUA
This 5659-nucleotide long non-coding RNA is filed under the name Homo sapiens (human). RNAcentral's name for it is "HSALNT0038917". Lineage: Eukaryota; Metazoa; Chordata; Mammalia; Primates; Hominidae. The record is from RNAcentral.